This 253-nucleotide ribosomal RNA is filed under the name uncultured bacterium. RNAcentral describes it as "partial 16S ribosomal RNA". It matches the Rfam family "Bacterial small subunit ribosomal RNA", at positions 524 to 776 of the family's 1533-position model. The record is from RNAcentral.
UACGUAGGUGGCAAGCGUUGUCCGGAUUUAUUGGGUUUAAAGGGUGCGUAGGCGGUUUCCUAAGUCAGUUGUGAAAUACGGCAGCUUAACUGUCGAGGUGCAAUUGAUACUGGGAAACUUGAGUACUGAUGAGGUAUGCGGAAUGGACGGUGUAGCGGUGAAAUGCUUAGAUAUCGUCCAGAACACCGAUAGCGAAGGCAGCAUACUAAGGAGUAACUGACGCUGAGGCACGAAAGUGUGGGGAUCAAACAGG